Molecule: ribosomal RNA, 253 nt
Filed under: uncultured bacterium
Lineage: Bacteria
Description: partial 16S ribosomal RNA
Rfam family: Bacterial small subunit ribosomal RNA
Source: RNAcentral
GACGAGUCUCACGAACGUUAUUCGGAAUUACUGGGCUUAAAGGGUGCGUAGGCGGUGAAGUAAGUCGGGUGUGAAAUGUCAUAGCUUAACUAUGGAACUGCACUCGAUACUAUUUUGCUAGAGUAAGACAGAGGUGAGUGGAACUGAGGGUGGAGCGGUGAAAUGCGUUGAUAUCCUCAGGAACACCGGUGGCGAAGGCGACUCACUGGGUCUUUACUGACGCUGAUGCACGAAAGCUAGGGUAGCAAACGGG